UACUUCACACACCCUGUCUUAAUGUCUUAACAUUCAUUGUUGUAAGACCACUGAAGCUAUUAAGAUGGGAGUUGAAGACCUUGAGCUUCCUUUCUUUAAUUUUAUUUCAUAUGAAUGAAUAAGUACAGCUAUGGUGUUGGGACUACUUUUUUUUUUUUUUUUUUUUACCUAAUAUAAUAUGAACUUGGAUUGUAUUCACAAACAUUUAGAGAAUACUCAAGGGAAGAUCUUGAAAGUUUCCAUAGAGACUCAAAUCUGAUAGGAAACCGGACUUGAAUCUUUUAGAUAUGAUGUUCAGUCAAUUGAGAAAUGCUUGCACAGUGCAUCACUCUCUUUUAUUUCUUUCCUAUUUCAACACCUACCUUACAACCAUUGCCUUACCAACAUUUAUAUAGAUUUUUUUCUCUAAAGAUCAAUCCCCGUGUCUUUUAUGAACUCCUGACCUUUCCUUUUCAAGGCCUCCAUUUGUGGGCUCAAAUGAAUUGCUUUGGCAACUGCUUUAUUGAGUACGGGGUUACACUGAUGCUUGGUGCAAUCAUAGAUUGCAUAUGAAAGAUGGAUGUAGCCACUAUGAUGUUAACCAUUGGUUUCCUAUCUCUAUUUUUGAUUUGGAUAGGCCAAUAAAGCUGCCGUGAGAGGUGAAUGACGCAAAACUCUUCACUGUCCAAUCAAUGAGAGAGAGAAAGGGAUGGAGAAUCGUGCAUACUGGUGGGGUUCACACUGUCAUUGCCAAUGGACAGGCAUGCACAUCUUUCAUCG
Molecule: long non-coding RNA, 759 nt
Organism: Astatotilapia calliptera (eastern happy)
Lineage: Eukaryota; Metazoa; Chordata; Actinopteri; Cichliformes; Cichlidae
Source: Ensembl